This 374-nucleotide ribosomal RNA is filed under the name uncultured organism. Its description in RNAcentral is "partial 16S ribosomal RNA". It matches the Rfam family "Bacterial small subunit ribosomal RNA", at positions 527 to 896 of the family's 1533-position model. The record is from RNAcentral.
GUAGGUGGCAAGCGUUGUCCGGAAUUAUUGGGCGUAAAGCGCGCGCAGGCGGUUCUUUAAGUCUGAUGUGAAAGCCCACGGCUCAACCGUGGAGGGUCAUUGGAAACUGGAGAACUUGAGUACAGAAGAGGAAAGCGGAAUUCCACGUGUAGCGGUGAAAUGCGUAGAGAUGUGGAGGAACACCAGUGGCGAAGGCGGCUUUCUGGUGUGUAACUGACGCUGAGGCGCGAAAGCGUGGGGAGCAAACAGGGAUUAGAUACCCUGGUAGUCCACGCCGUAAACGAUGAGUGCUAAGUGUUAGGGGGGUUUCCGCCCCCUUAGUGCUGCAGCUAACGCAUUAAGCACUCCGCCUGGGGAGUACGGCCGCAAGGCUG